RNAcentral lists this ribosomal RNA (400 nucleotides) under uncultured bacterium. RNAcentral describes it as "bacterial SSU rRNA". It matches the Rfam family "Bacterial small subunit ribosomal RNA", at positions 975 to 1375 of the family's 1533-position model. The record is from RNAcentral.
CUGGGUUAAAUCCACUCAAAGCUGCCAGAGAUGGCGGGGUGCCCUUCGGGGAAUGAGUGAGAAGGUGCUGCAUGGCUGUCGUCAGCUCGUGUCGUGAGAUGUUGGGUUAAGUCCCGCAACGAGCGCAACCUCUGUCGUUAGUUGCCAGCCUUAAGUGGGGCACUCUAACGAGACUGCCGACGUCAAGUCGGAGGAAGGUGGAGAUGACGUCAAGUCCUCAUGGUCCUUAUGCCCAGGGCUACACACGUGCUACAAUGGCCGGUACAAAGGGAUGCGAGACCGCGAGGUGGAGCCAAUCCCAAAAAACCGUCCUCAGUUCGGAUUGUAGUCUGCAACUCGACUACAUGAAGCUGGAAUCGCUAGUAAUCGGAGAUCAGCACGCUCCGGUGAAUACGUUCCC